AUGAAAGCUCUAAAAGAGUCAGAAACUCGCCAAACUUAUAAAGCACAGAGAAGGCUCGAACCCAGAGUCAACCUUGCAGCCCAUGCCUUUUACAGACUUACCAGGAGUUUUCAAAUGGGGCCCAAAGACACAUCAUCCCCAGGAAUAUACAAUCUGCUUCAGUUUUUGUUUUUGUUUUUUUUUUUUUGUCUUUUAAUUGGAAAAGACACUGAUUUCUUAGACACAGAACUCCCUAAAGCUAAUCCUGCUAACAUUUGCCAUAGCUUCUUUCAAGUUAUUUUUUCACCCCGACACCUACCUCCGCCUCAAAUUAGAGGCAGGUUUUUUAAAUUAAUUUUAAGCAGGUGUAAUCUAUUUCAUAAGCUGCUUUCCCCCUUAUUUCAGAUGCUUGAUACAUUCUUACAAUGAAGAUUUAUCAAUCUCUAAUACCACAUGGCCAUUAUAUAUAGCAGAAUAAGCAGCCAUUGGGGGGCGGGGGGUGUUUUGCAACGGGGUUAGGAAAUACUUCUUUCCUAGUUUGGGCCUGAUGACCUUGGGCCUCUGCUGAACAGAGGGAGCUGGAAGAGUUCUAACUUAAAGCAAGACAUUCUCAAGACCCUCAAAGAAAAGAAGAUGCCAGGGAAGACUGUUCCCCAAGAGUUCAGGAUCAAACAAAUCAGCUCAGGUUCAACUAAGGGAACUGAACUUCCACAGGAGGGGCAAUUUCCAAUCAUACCAAUGACUCUAGCCUAAGAAAAGCUGCUGCUAGUUUGGUCUUAUGGGAUAAAGCUGCGAGGGGGGUGGGAAAAGGCUGAGGUCAUCUUAUGACUGCAAGGUGUCAAGUACUUCAAAUGGGGGGAAAGGUGCUUGACCCUAAAGCCUCCACACUUGGUUAUUUUGAGCUAAAGUUGCUUGGGAACGAAAAUACCCAUGAAGUGGACCAUAAAGAGUCUGGGUGAUUGAGCUGACGCAGUCCUCAGUCAAUGUAGAUACAGUGGCAAACUGUUUCAGAAACGAAGUUUCAAGGUUGUUUAGGAUGGGGUUCUAAUUUAACAACUAAGAACAUAUUUUUAUUGGAUGCUUUAUUCCACUGGCCGGGAUGGUAUGACACUUUAACUGAUGGUUUUCAGAAGCUCUUUGGGGCCAAAGGAUUUUGGUUUGGUUUUAUAUUCGUAAAAAUACUAAUAGCAAAUUACUCUUCCUUAACCUCCCAAUAGAAAGAUUCACUUUUCCGAAUGAACCCAUAGAACCCUCCAGAGAAGUUUCUUAGUAAUCAGAGUUCUUUGGCUACACAGACAUCUCUGAAAAUGAGCUUUAAAACCAAGAUGAACACCUCAUUGUCUCACCCCUACUAUAUUUAAAAUCUAUGUCUACUUUCAAAAGUCAUGCGCUAAAUCCUUAGGUUUUCCCCCCAGCAAACGAUCUAAAUAAGAGCCUGAUUUCAUUUACAUACACACUGGCUCGCUCUCCCCAACAACAACACUUCCUUUGAAAAACAGAAUGUCACUUCCUCAAUCCAGAGGCCAGAAGUCCCUCGGUUCUGAUCUGGGGAGCCAAGACAGGAAACUCUGGUAAGCUUCUGCCUCUCCCCUCAUGGAAAGCCACUGGUGCAGCUGACAGAGGGCAGGGUCUAUUCCGAGCUCCCCUGAUGCACUGCAGCUGGAAGGCAACAGCUCACUUCCAGGCUGUGGGAAUGAUCCCAGAGAGCCCGGCACCACGAGUCGGUUUAACAAGGACAUAUCAAAGGAAGGGAUGAGGAGAGGGUGGCAAACUGGGACACCUUUUAGCCACCUUGCUUGCGUUUCCAGACUCAGGCGAACAGCCCAGGACUGAUUUCAGCCAAAUCUCAGGGACUGGCCCCAUCUCGUACUCUGACCCCACCAAGCAGGACAUCUUCAGGUGGAAGGGGAAAAAAAAGCCAGACCUCCUCACCGCUCCCACCGGGCUGUACCACCUUCCCCACGAUACUGCCAGCCUCUCACCGAGAAGGGAGAGGCUGCCCCAGCAAUUUCAGUAAACACGUCGCUUAGCACCACCUGGCAACUGAGAACCUUGAUCUCUCCCGACCCCAGACGCCCGAGGACCGCACAACACAAAACCCGGGCCAGUUGUAGCCGACCAAACUGCAGUGUCACUAUCGUGGGGUGGGUUGGGGAGGGGAGGGAUGGGGGGAUCCAUGUGAGAGACAGACAGAAUAAAGGGAAAGAAGGGGGACA
This 2195-nucleotide long non-coding RNA is filed under the name Sus scrofa (pig). Its description in RNAcentral is "lncRNA (ENSSSCG00015034055.1)". Lineage: Eukaryota; Metazoa; Chordata; Mammalia; Artiodactyla; Suidae. The record is from RNAcentral.